AGAAUCCCAAAAUGGAGGAAGCUGGGGAACUCCUUUCAAGUGCACUGGCAAGCAAACCCACUGUCCUCUGAAAGGGGAGGAUUGUGGUUUUACCAGAUUGACGAUGAUUACUUUUCCCUGAGUAUUAUUGGAUCACGCUUUCGAGAGGCAGAUCCCUAUGGCUCAUGAUGACACUCCUAAACAAGCAAGAAUGGGAAAGCAGAACCAGUUACUGGCAUUUUGAAAAAGUUACUCAGAGGAAGGCUGCUGCAGAGCUUGCUCAACUUCAGUAUACCAUGAAUGCAGGAUGCUGCCAGUCAUAUGAAGGAUCCUCUGCUUCACAUUAUGAAAGAAAGACGUGAGCUACAAACCUGAAUSCAACCUGGAAUUUCCAAACAGAUGUGACAGCUUUUUCCAGAGUCCAGUUAUCAGGCAAAAGGACCAUCCAGAGAGCUGGAAAUCCAAUACCAACCAACUCUAAAAAGGAAAGUUYGUGCUUUUGAAAUAUAUUCCUGCAACAAAGGAUUUGAGAGAGGAGAUAUCCRUAAAAAWAGGUAUGUAUUUAGUUAG
Long non-coding RNA from Malurus melanocephalus (red-backed fairy wren), 549 nucleotides. RefSeq lists it as uncharacterized. Lineage: Eukaryota; Metazoa; Chordata; Aves; Passeriformes; Maluridae. The transcript has 3 exons. The record is from RefSeq and is a predicted model, not a curated record.